This 253-nucleotide ribosomal RNA is filed under the name uncultured bacterium. RNAcentral's name for it is "partial 16S ribosomal RNA". It matches the Rfam family "Bacterial small subunit ribosomal RNA", at positions 524 to 776 of the family's 1533-position model. The record is from RNAcentral.
UACGAAGGGGGCGAGCGUUGUUCGGAUUUACUGGGCGUAAAGGGCGCGCAGGCGGCUCAUUUUGUCAGGCGUGAAAGCCCCGGGCUUAACCUGGGAGGUGCGUUUGAUACGGAUGGGCUAGAGUUCGGGAGAGGAAGGUGGAAUUCCCGGUGUAGCAGUGAAAUGCGUAGAGAUCGGGAGGAACACCAGUGGCGAAGGCGGCUCUCUGGGCCUUUCCUGACGCUGAGACGCGAAAGCGUGGGGAGCGAACCGG